This is a long non-coding RNA of Hibiscus syriacus, 173 nucleotides long. RefSeq lists it as uncharacterized. The record is from RefSeq and is a predicted model, not a curated record. Lineage: Eukaryota; Viridiplantae; Streptophyta; Magnoliopsida; Malvales; Malvaceae. The transcript has 3 exons.
GGAGACUGAAGCUAUUGACGCCAAUGUUCGAGGAGAUUAGAGAGAGCAAGGAGCAAAUCUCUGAAGAAACUGUUAAAGCUUUGGUCUCGCUGAAAGAAGCUUUGAUUUCGGCGAAGGAGUUGCUUAGAUUCGGCAGUGAAGGCAGCAAGAUUUACCUGGUUUUAGAGAGAGAG